GACNAGUGGCGGACGGGUGAGUAAUGUCUCGGGAAACUGCCUGAUGGAGGGGGAUAACUACUGGAAACGGUAGCUAAUACCGCAUAACGUCGCAAGACCAAAGAGGGGGACCUUCGGGCCUCUUGCCAUCGGAUGUGCCCAGAUGGGAUUAGCUAGUAGGUGGGGUAACGGCUCACCUAGGCGACGAUCCCUAGCUGGUCUGAGAGGAUGACCAGCCACACUGGAACUGAGACACGGUCCAGACUCCUACGGGAGGCAGCAGUGGGGAAUAUUGCACAAUGGGCGCAAGCCUGAUGCAGCCAUGCCGCGUGUAUGAAGAAGGCCUUCGGGUUGUAAAGUACUUUCAGCGGGGAGGAAGGCGAUAAGGUUAAUAACCUUGUCGAUUGACGUUACCCGCAGAAGAAGCACCGGCUAACUCCGUGCCAGCAGCCGCGGUAAUACGGAGGGUGCAGGCNUUAAUCGGAAUUACUGGGCGUAAAGCGCACGCAGGCGGUCUGUCAAGUCGGAUGUGAAAUCCCCGGGCUCAACCUGGGAACUGCAUUCGAAACUGGCAGGCUAAAGUCUUGUAGANGGGGGGUNGAAUUCCCAGUGUAGCGGGAAAUGCGUAGAGAUNUGGNGGAAUACCGGUGGCGGAAGGCGGGCCCCCUGGACAAAAGACUGACNCUCAGGGUGCCGAAAGCGGGGGGAGCAACNGGAAUUNGAUACCCCUGGUANUCCCACCC
This 722-nucleotide ribosomal RNA is filed under the name uncultured bacterium. RNAcentral describes it as "bacterial SSU rRNA". It matches the Rfam family "Bacterial small subunit ribosomal RNA", at positions 90 to 801 of the family's 1533-position model. The record is from RNAcentral.